GACGAACGCUGGCGGCGUGCUUAACACAUGCAAGUCGAACGGAAAGGCCCUGCUUUUGUGGGGUGCUCGAGUGGCGAACGGGUGAGUGACACGUGAGUAACCUGCCCCUGACUUUGGGAUAACUUCAGGAAACUGGGGCUAAUACCGGAUAGGAGCUCCUGCUGCAUGGUGGGGGUUGGAAAGUUUCGGCGGUUGGGGAUGGACUCGCGGCUUAUCAGCUUGUUGGUGGGGUAGUGGCUUACCAAGGCUUUGACGGGUAGCCGGCCUGAGAGGGUGACCGGCCACAUUGGGACUGAGAUACGGCCCAGACUCCUACGGGAGGCAGCAGUGGGGAAUAUUGCACAAUGGGCGGAAGCCUGAUGCAGCAACGCCGCGUGCGGGAUGACGGCCUUCGGGUUGUAAACCGCUUUCGCCUGUGACGAAGCGUGAGUGACGGUAAUGGGUAAAGAAGCACCGGCUAACUACGUG
RNAcentral lists this ribosomal RNA (468 nucleotides) under uncultured bacterium. RNAcentral describes it as "partial 16S ribosomal RNA". It matches the Rfam family "Bacterial small subunit ribosomal RNA", at positions 28 to 507 of the family's 1533-position model. The record is from RNAcentral.